CUCAGGGACUCAUUCACUCAUUUAUUCAAGCAAUUAAAAGGGCUUUAAUUUGGUGGGGUUGCAAACGGAUUUAAGUUCUUUUAUUGGCUGAUAGUUUUUGACUCGAACGGGUAUGCUGGUUGGAAUACUUUAAUGAUAAUUACUCUUGUUUCGAUUUGUAAUCAGAAGCUGUGCAUGCCAGCUGAGAGAUUUAAUGGGAUGAAGGUGAAGGUAAG
RNAcentral lists this long non-coding RNA (215 nucleotides) under Elaeis guineensis (African oil palm). RNAcentral describes it as "long non-coding RNA (EGUI_LNC030336)". The record is from RNAcentral. Lineage: Eukaryota; Viridiplantae; Streptophyta; Magnoliopsida; Arecales; Arecaceae.